Molecule: ribosomal RNA, 434 nt
Filed under: uncultured bacterium
Lineage: Bacteria
Description: partial 16S ribosomal RNA
Rfam family: Bacterial small subunit ribosomal RNA
Source: RNAcentral
GCGAACGCUGGCGGCAGGCUUAACACAUGCAAGUCGAGCGGGCACUUUCGGGUGUCAGCGGCGGACGGGUGAGUAACGCGUGGGAACGUGCCCUCUGGUUCGGAAUAACUCAGGGAAACUUGAGCUAAUACCGGAUACGCCCUUUUGGGGAAAGGCUUGCUGCCGGAGGAUCGGCCCGCGUCUGAUUAGCUAGUUGGUGAGGUAACGGCUCACCAAGGCGACGAUCAGUAGCUGGUCUGAGAGGAUGAUCAGCCACACUGGGACUGAGACACGGCCCAGACUCCUACGGGAAGCAGCAGUGGGGAAUAUUGGACAAUGGGCGCAAGCCUGAUCCAGCCAUGCCGCGUGAGUGAUCAAGGCCUUAGGGUUGUAAAGCUCUUUUAUCCGGGACGAUAAUGACGGUACCGGAGGAAUAAGCCCCGGCUAACUUCGUG